UGGCGGACGGGUGAGUAAUGUCUGGGAAACUGCCCGAUGGAGGGGGAUAACUACUGGAAACGGCAGCUAAUACCGCAUAAUGUCUACGGACCAAAGCGGGGGACCUCCGGGCCUCGCGCCAUCAGAUGAACCCAUAUGGGAUUAGCUUGUAGGUAAGGUAACGGCUUACCUAGGCGACGAUCCCUAGCUGGUCUGAGAGGAUGACCAGCCACACUGGAACUGAGACACGGUCCAG
Molecule: ribosomal RNA, 235 nt
Filed under: uncultured bacterium
Lineage: Bacteria
Description: partial 16S ribosomal RNA
Rfam family: Bacterial small subunit ribosomal RNA
Source: RNAcentral